RNAcentral lists this long non-coding RNA (627 nucleotides) under Parus major (Great Tit). Its description in RNAcentral is "lncRNA (ENSPMJG00000008759.1)". The record is from RNAcentral. Lineage: Eukaryota; Metazoa; Chordata; Aves; Passeriformes; Paridae.
CUUAUUAACACCAUCCCUCCCCCUGUGUGCAGGCUGGGCUGGAUAUUACACACAGUGCCACUCCAACACCUGUGUCUGUGGAGGCUGGAAAAGAAGUGAUUGCUGAGAAUGGCUGCUUCACUGGGUAUGAGACAUCCCAAGCCAGACACCUGGACUGCUUCAUACAGACAGUGGGCAGAGCACUGGCUCAGAACUGAAGAUCACCAGUUCAUCAUCCUUCCUGAUCUCCAUCAAAGUUCAGUGAAUCUUAUCCAUGGAUUGUGUGGGCAGGUGGCAUUUUUAGUCCUUGACAGAGCCUGAAAGAAGAGAUUUUAGUCUUUAAUUAGGGCUUCAGGAUGCUUCUUCAAGAAUAGCAGUAACAGACACAGAACUACUGUUUGUGCUUUUGAAAUUUUUUUGGACAUAUUUUGCAGGAUAUCUGUGAAAGGCUGGUUUGGUUUUUUUUAUCCUGUAAUAUUUGCUUCUUGCCCAGAAUAGCUUCUCCAUAGCCAGAGAUAGGAAUCUCAUGUUUAAGAGCAUCCAUGUUUCUGUUUUCAUUUUGUUUAAAAACCGUCAGCUAUAGCCAGGACUAUCAUAAACCCACAAAAUCUCAGUCCAGUUCAGCUUGUCACCUUGCCAAGAAUGCUG